Molecule: long non-coding RNA, 1863 nt
Organism: Oreochromis niloticus (Nile tilapia)
Lineage: Eukaryota; Metazoa; Chordata; Actinopteri; Cichliformes; Cichlidae
Exons: 2
Source: RefSeq, a predicted model, not a curated record
GUGAAAAUCGGGUCAAGGUCACAGCAAAUGUCAGUAAAACCCCUUUAUCCACAUUUUUUAUAGAUUGCCUUAAAACUUAACAACAAUACACUAGGCUUGGGGAACAUUAAUAAUCGUUUCACCCUGACCUGUAUUGUUAGCGCCUAAGGUCAAAGUUCACCUUGAAAAGAAUUUUCAAGAAAACAUAUUUAGUAUAAUAUUAACAGGCAUGGAAACAGCUGUACAACACACUUUUAAUUUUUUCAAUUUGACAACAUCACAGUGACACCUUAACAGACUGAUGUCAUCAUGUUGCCAUGAAAAGAUCAUCAAAGUUGUAUUAAAACCCUUCUCCUUUUACAGGGUUGUGCUCUGUGACUUCUCUUGCUUUGUGUGUUUUCUUUUAGUGAACUAAGUUUUUUUUCUUGGGUUCUCGCUGGUUUAGUGUUUGAGUCUUCCCUCAGUAUUGCAUUCAUGUGUCCGUGUUUCCUCCUUUAUCUCACUUCCUGUCUUAUUUUUACAGUUAGUUGCUUUGCUAUUAGUUUUGCUUCCCUCGUCUUGUCCUCUGUGAUUUAGGUAAGCUGUGUCUUGUUUCCCUGUUUGCCCUUCUAUGCGUAUAAAUUGUGGUUAACUUCUACUAGUCUUUUGUCUGUUCUGCUUGCCCUACUGUGUUUUCAGGCUUUGUUUCAGUACUUAACUUUGUUUCAGUUUCAGUACUUACUUACAGACUUAAGGAUGGCUGUCUUUACUUUCUCCAGAUUCUCAACGUCUUUUCUUCACUUUGCAGAAGAGUGACAGUGGAUAUAUUGGACAAAGGAUGUUGCAUAUGGAGCUGCCAGAGAGGAAGACCUCAGAGAAGUUUCAUGCAUGUAGUGAAAGAGGACAUGAACAGGUUUGGUGUGACAGAGGAGGAUGCAGGGAUAAUAUACAAUAGAGCGUUGAAAGAAAAUGCCACACCCAUCCAAUACCAGGCUAGUGGAAAAUUACAGGACUGGAAACCAGACCCAGUCCCAAAUAAGGGAAAGACAAGUCUAUACCACGGCUCCUCUGCUACUUUUUAACUAAUAAUAUUAAUAUUCUUGUUGUAUUUUUACUGCUUUGGUGUCGUACCCUUUCUCUGUCCGGACCACUGGACAGAGGAAGUCCAUGGUCCCGUGCAAAACUUGAAACUUCAAUCUUUUAAUAAUUUUUGAAAACGUAUACUUUGAGUUUGCUCAUCUUGUCUCACAAAAAGAAAAAAAUUUUGUUACCAAAAGCUCUCAAUAGUAAUUAUUGUGAGUUAUGGUUCUUUUCCCCACACUGAGCCAUUACAGCCAAUUUCAGAGUUCCCCCACCUGCUGAAUCUACUUUAACCCCUGACUGUACACAUUUUCCUGUUUAGAGGCAAAUUCACCCUCUACAAUGUAGCAACAGGAAAUAGAAAUAUAUUUUUAUUUUCCUUCCUUUUCUUUAUAUUCAAGCUAAGUUCAAUUAAAAUAAACAAAUUAGACUUAAGUUUGUAUUCCCAUCUUCAAAUGUUAUUUUAUUAUUAUGUUAAUACAGCACAAGCUUUGUAGAAAAUAGAAACGUCCUCCAAAGAGCUACUUUUUACUUUCUUACUUUGAGUCCAUUUCAGAGCCUGUAAUUUUUUUACUUUUACUUAAGUAAAGAAGUUGAAUCAGUCCAUCAGCUUUUACUGGAGUAUUUUUUAACAGUACUAUCUGCACUUCUAUAGAAUAGCUAAGUAAACAAUGUCUGUACUUUUGCCAAUUCUGAUGUUUUACUCACCAGGGUAGCAAGUCGGUCACGUGACUGUAUACUGUAUGAUGAGAUAAGUUCAUAUUGCUUGAAUGUGUUGUUACAGUAAACAAGAGCAGAAUAAAUGAAAACAAAUUAAAAAAAAAA